Molecule: long non-coding RNA, 850 nt
Organism: Triticum dicoccoides
Lineage: Eukaryota; Viridiplantae; Streptophyta; Magnoliopsida; Poales; Poaceae
Exons: 3
Source: RefSeq, a predicted model, not a curated record
CCUCGCCCCCCUCGAUCUGGACAGGGUCGCGGCCUGCCUACAACCACCGUCAGCCCGCCGCCGCGGCGCGCCUUGCCGGCCGACGCCUCCGUUGCCCCGCCGCCGGUACAGGUGCCCAGCAGCGCCUCCCUCCCUGGAGCAGCCGCUCCCGCGUAGCAACGCCGCCGCCCGAAGUUGCGCCGGCGACCCGUCCAGAGGCAGUCGCAGAUGAUUGAUCAACAGACCUACCUAUGAAGGUAGAGUGGAAGAACUGGAAAUAAAGAUGCAGGGAAAGGGCAAUGAUGCUGCAACAUCACUUGUUUCAUGGCAUAAAGAGAUAGAGGCACUUGAAUCUGAGCUCUCAGAGACCAAAGUUCUUGCACAGCAGAAAUCAUUUGAGCUUUUACUCUUAUAGCCAAGUUUCAAGAUGCGCAGGCAACUAUAUGUGAUGCAGACUCUACAGUCAAGGCACUGGUGGAAGCGAGUCAAAAUGCAAAACUCCAAGUAGAGAAGUUAGCUUACACUAGUCUGACCUUAUAUGCUGCUGCAUCUGUUAUUUAUGAACACCUUCUUUACGCUUGGCCAUGAUGGGAAGAGUCUUAAGACAUCUAAAAGGGUCAGAUUGAUGACUGUUCUUUUCCUUUGACCCUCCUACAAGAACUGAUGUGCUGGAAUGUUGGAAGUGUUAACUCCACGGGUCUCAAAUCUGAAAAUAUUUACGGGGGCCUUUGUUGCCACGAUCAUUACUGUGUAGAACUUUCUUGCUCUAGAGUGGCAUCCAAAUUAUGAAUAAGAAAUUGGACAAAUGGGUUGUAUACUAUUUGUUUCAUGAGUAGUCAGAAAGCUCAUGCCGGAUGCUGGUGUGCGUGAA